RNAcentral lists this ribosomal RNA (256 nucleotides) under uncultured bacterium. RNAcentral's name for it is "partial 16S ribosomal RNA". It matches the Rfam family "Bacterial small subunit ribosomal RNA", at positions 98 to 354 of the family's 1533-position model. The record is from RNAcentral.
CGGGACGGGUGAGUAACGCGUGGAUAACCUGCCGUAUGCAGGGGGAUACCAACUGGAAACAGUUGCUAAUACCGCAUAAGCGCACAGCACCGCAUGGUGCAGUGUGAAAAGAUUUAUCGGCAUACGAUGGAUCCGCGUCCGAUUAGCCAGUUGGCGGGGUAGAAGCCCACCAAAGCGACGAUCGGUAGCCGGCCUGAGAGGGCGGACGGCCACAUUGGGACUGAGACACGGCCCAAACUCCUACGGAAGGCAGCAG